AGUGGGAUAGCUGGGUCAAAUGGUGGUUCCAUUCCAAGUUUUCUAAGAAAUCUCUUUACUGCUUUCCAGAGUGGUUGCACCAAUUUGCAGUUCCACCAGCAAU
RNAcentral lists this microRNA precursor (103 nucleotides) under Marmota monax (woodchuck). Lineage: Eukaryota; Metazoa; Chordata; Mammalia; Rodentia; Sciuridae. The record is from RNAcentral.